Molecule: long non-coding RNA, 1955 nt
Organism: Larimichthys crocea (large yellow croaker)
Lineage: Eukaryota; Metazoa; Chordata; Actinopteri; Sciaenidae
Exons: 3
Source: RefSeq, a predicted model, not a curated record
UUCCACGCGAUGGCGCGACGUGCAGGUGUACUUACGUGGCGCGCACGCGUAUACAUGCACGCACGGAUUAUGUUUAAGCAGAGAAAGCCCACAUAGGGUUCCCACACGGAGCCGCGACGUGCACGUGCGUGCAUGUAAACGUGCCCGCGUGCACUGGAUUUUUUGGGGGGGGGUUAAAAUGCAGAUUUUAUAGACAAAUGAAAAAAAGACGUUUGAUACCAGUACUGUUUAUAAAUAGUUAUCACAAAGGAAACGUGUGUAUAUGUAUGUGUGUGUUUUAUAAGUUACGUUUUACCACAGGUGUCUGUACUGUAUUUAAACCCACAACUCUUUUUGUGACUUUUCUAGCUGAGGAGCUGUCUUUGUGGCUUGAAGAUUGACUACCAACUGACAUGUAAGUUCUGCAACUUUGCAUGUGAUAAAAGAGGGCAGCUACUUAAACAUUAUAGAUUGAAACAUGGUGGUAACACAAGAAUGUCACCGUUACCAUGUGUUAAUAAAGAGUGCCUCUGCACAUUUAAGUCCUUCAAUGCACUUAAGGUACAUCUAUCAAGAGUACACUCCUAAAAGGAUGAUCAUCCAAGUGAUGCUGUGGAAAAUGUAUUUCAGUGUCAACUUUGUGACUGAAACUGAUGUUGGAACGCUGGCCAGCUCUUUUCAGAAAACAACAGGUAAGCAAACAAGCAUAUUAAAUAAAUACAUAAUAAACAUCCACCAAAAUAUUGUGGUCAUUUCUUAACUUGGUACAAAAUUUUGUGUUCUGUUUUGUCUUUGAAGGUUUUUGCAGAAUUCACCAGAGUAGCAAGCAAAGAUCUUGAGCAAGACUUUUUUGAGUCCUUGGACCACCAUACCCCCGCCAUUCCUUGAGAUCUUCAAAUCUAAAAAGGGAAAUGUUGGCAGGACACUUGCAGAGAUCGUUGCACAUGUUGAAAUAAGGACCCAUGAUGCCAUAGCCAAGAGGACUGCUGUCUUACCUCCCAGUUUUUCUCGGUGAUGAUGGGAGUGAUUUCUUCAAAGUCUGCUUCGAUUCGGAUGCCACUCUGGAUUUCACACAGGUUCCUGUUGGAGUAGUGACUGUUAUACCUGAAGAGAGUCAGCAGCCAGGUCCAAAUGCCCUGCACCUUGAACCAUCCAGCAUUGGUAUCAUACUGGAAGGUAAUCUCGUCAUGGAUGACACUGAAAGCCACGCGCAAGCUAUUUGCCUCAUAUUUGGACUAAUCUAUGCUCUUCAUCUAGAUUAUCCCAAAAGUCUUAAGAACACCUUUGACUUCAUUCAGAGGGUGAUGCUCAACCUAGGUGUAGGUAACCUGAGGCCAAAACUUCAGAGCUUGAAAAAUGCGCUUUUGCAGUAGAUGGCUGUGCUGUAAAAGGUCCUCAAGCAUAGAUACUUUGGUAAACUGACCUGAAAUAUUUACAACUAAUAACCACUGCAAAAUUCUUAGACAGUUAUAGUCACAGCUGGAUGAUUUUGGCCACGUCAUAUUUCAGUUUAUAUAGUGUACCUUAGGAUAUCUACCUUGUUAACAUGCUGUUGUGUAAUGUGAUUGACUAGUUUGCAGCCAGCAGAAUACAGGUAGCACAAUGUUACAGUGUAAUCUUGUUUAUUACAGUUCAAUGCACAUAGUGUGACAUAAUUGUAAAAGGUUUCAUUUAGUUUGUAAGUUGACUGAAGCUUGAUUGAAAAUGUGUCAUAGAACCCUGUUGAAAUCUAAAGUAAAGUAGUGAGAAAGAUUUAGUUUAGUUAUUUCCAACAUUUUAAAAACACUAUUUUAUAGUAUGUAUUUUAUUUUAUAGCUGAUAUUUUUUAAGGCUUAAAACUGGAUUUGUUUUGAUUGUAUAAUUGAAUUUCUCCAUAAACACUGACCUGGGUUUAAGAAGCUCACAAUGGCAAUUUUGUUGAAAUAAACAAUAAUCCUGCAAACUUAAUCAUUCUUUGUUGUGCUUACUUUAUUUAU